GACGGCGUGCCACCGCCGGCCCUGUAGAGGAAGUAGUCGUACAUGUCGCAGGGGUACACGCGGCGCGGAACGGCGACGGGGUAGGCCAUCUGGAAGAGCACAGCAUCGCGGUGCGCAGCCACGACGUCGAAGCGGUCGUAUUCCCCCGUGCCGGUCGGCCAUGACUGGUAGAGGCGGGACGGCCGCGGCGGGUCGUGGAGCUCGAAGCAGACGCGGAUCUUGUCGCCCCUGGAGUUGG
RNAcentral lists this long non-coding RNA (238 nucleotides) under Setaria italica (foxtail millet). RNAcentral describes it as "long non-coding RNA (SITA_LNC006766)". The record is from RNAcentral. Lineage: Eukaryota; Viridiplantae; Streptophyta; Magnoliopsida; Poales; Poaceae.